This 69-nucleotide transfer RNA is filed under the name Marmota monax (woodchuck). RNAcentral describes it as "tRNA.Ile". The record is from RNAcentral. Lineage: Eukaryota; Metazoa; Chordata; Mammalia; Rodentia; Sciuridae.
GAGGUAGCUCAGUUGGUAGAGUGCUUGCCUAAUAUUUGCAGGGCCCUGGGUUCCAUCUCCAGUACCACA